This 513-nucleotide ribosomal RNA is filed under the name uncultured bacterium. RNAcentral's name for it is "partial 16S ribosomal RNA". It matches the Rfam family "Bacterial small subunit ribosomal RNA", at positions 28 to 523 of the family's 1533-position model. The record is from RNAcentral.
GAUGAACGCUGGCGGCGUGCCUAAUACAUGCAAGUCGAGCGAACAGACGAGGAGCUUGCUCCUCUGACGUUAGCGGCGGACGGGUGAGUAACACGUGGAUAACCUACCUAUAAGACUGGGAUAACUUCGGGAAACCGGAGCUAAUACCGGAUAAUAUAUUGAACCGCAUGGUUCAAUAGUGGAAGACGGUUUUGCUGUCACUUAUAGAUGGAUCCGCGCCGCAUUAGCUAGUUGGUAAGGUGACGGCUUACCAAGGCAACGAUGCGUAGCCGACCUGAGAGGGUGAUCGGCCACACUGGAACUGAGACACGGUCCAGACUCCUACGGGAGUCAGCAGUAGGGAAUCUUCCGCAAUGGGCGAAAGCCUGACGGAGCAACGCCGCGUGAGUGAUGAAGGUCUUCGGAUCGUAAAACUCUGUUAUUAGGGAAGAACAAAUGUGUAAGUAACUAUGCACGUCUUGACGGUACCUAAUCAGAAAGCCACGGCUAACUACGUGCCAGCAGCCGCCGUAA